AGAGUUUGAUCAUGGCUCAGAUUGAACGCUGGCGGCAUGCCUAACACAUGCAAGUCGAACGGCAGCACGGCAGUAGCAAUACUGUGGGUGGCGAGUGGCGGACGGGUGAGGAAUACGUCGGAAUCUGCCCAGUCGUGGGGGAUAACUAGCCGAAAGGUUAGCUAAUACCGCAUACGACCGAGAGGUGAAAGCGGGGGACCGCAAGGCCUCGCGCGAUUGGAUGAGCCGACGUCGGAUUAGCUAGUUGGUAGGGUAAAGGCCUACCAAGGCGACGAUCCGUAGCUGGUCUGAGAGGAUGAUCAGCCACACUGGAACUGAGACACGGUCCAGACUCCUACGGGAGGCAGCAGUGGGGAAUAUUGGACAAUGGGCGCAAGCCUGAUCCAGCAAUGCCGCGUGUGUGAAGAAGGCCUUCGGGUUGUAAAGCACUUUUAUCAGGAACGAAAAGCGUGGGGCUAAUACCUUUACGUGCUGACGGUACCUGAGAAUAGCCC
Molecule: ribosomal RNA, 494 nt
Filed under: uncultured Dyella sp.
Lineage: Bacteria; Pseudomonadati; Pseudomonadota; Gammaproteobacteria; Lysobacterales; Rhodanobacteraceae
Description: bacterial SSU rRNA
Rfam family: Bacterial small subunit ribosomal RNA
Source: RNAcentral